Long non-coding RNA from Mustela erminea (ermine), 1430 nucleotides. RefSeq lists it as uncharacterized. The transcript is spliced from 4 exons. NCBI's taxonomy places the organism in Eukaryota, Metazoa, Chordata, Mammalia, Carnivora, Mustelidae. The record is from RefSeq and is a predicted model, not a curated record.
AAGUGGCCCACAAGGAGAGGUGGCAGAGUGAGUGGGAAGAGGGCUGACCUGGAGAGGAUGAUCAAAGCAUGUCUCUUUCACAAACAGAGAUCCAAGGAAUACAAAAGAAUCAGACAUAGUCAUGCAUGAGGUUGGAGUGAGCUGGGGACAGAAUGCAAACCCCCAGAAGAGGAUCCAGCUUGCUGCACUGGGCCUCUGGGAGCAUGGCGGGGUCGUGCAGAGAGGGGAGAGUGGAAUGAGAUGCAGCGGAGAACCAGCUUCCACGCCAUGCCGAGCCACGGCAAGGGAGCAUAGGGUAUAGGCUGAGGGCAAUGUGCCGUUGCUGGGAGCUCUUAAGCAAAGACUUCAGAGUCUAAUUCAUAAUUUAAAAUCAGAUAGAGACGCACAUGUAUAAUUCAUGCUUAUACUAAAAUAGAUAUAUAUUUGUUCCUAUAGGCGCAUUAUUAUUGAGGAGAUAGUCCCUUGUUGUUCAAGAAAGAUGGGAUUUUUCUGUGCAAACUCUCUGACAUGUCUUUCAGUGUUAGCAUCUGCUCUUCUUCCCAAAGAGGCUGUUACCACCUGCCUGGAGAGAGGAAGGUCUGACUGAGGAAUUCCAGGUCCCACUGCGUGCAGAAGGUGCGUGGCUGGAAGACCCACAGGAGGUGGAAACCAUGGCAGAAGGAGCGGAGCAUGUUGGAAUCGCAGGGCAGGAAGAACUGAGAUCCAGAGGGGAGAAAUGAUUCGAAAGAGGACUUGGAGAGCCUCCUGGGUGGCAAGGAGGGAGAGGGGCCCCACCUGCCCCUCUGAGCCUGGUCUCUGCACCUACCCAGGCACAGGGGCACUUACUGAGAAGAGCAGGAAGUCAUGACCAAAUGCAGAAGGUGGUCCAGCCGUAUCUCGCAGGACCUUUGAGCCAUCUUUCAAAUGUUGCUCACUCAGCGCUCCCGGAACUCCGCCCUGGGUGCCGGAGAGCCAUGCUUUGCUCUCCCCGCCCCCUCGCACCCAGGCCUCUGGAUUUCCUGGGCAGCUCCCACCUCCAUCUGCUUCCAGCCCCACUGACUCAAGACCCCUGCCAUGCAGCAUCUUGUUCUUUCUCGUGGUUUCCUCUUCCAAGUGGUGGGCUGUGUCUCCAGAUUACUUCCCCUUGUGGUUUCCAUCCACCCCUGUCCCUGCACAACCUGAGGUUCCACAGCCCAUGUCCCAGCCCCACCAAACUCAAAUCCAUCAGUAUCUUCUCUGCUAGACCUUCUCUCAGCUCCCAUGUUUAUUGGAGGGUGAAGGAACCUCAGGGGUGUAGAACCUCAGGAGGGUGUCGAAACCUGAGUUGGUAGUGUCCCUCGGUUGAGGACAGCACAGCAUCCUCACCGUGAAUCUCGUCCAGCGCAUUCUCCCCCUCUCUCUGCUCUGGUUCCGUCUCUCCCUCUCUGCCUCUCUCCAUCUCUCUGUGUGUC